CCUACGGGAGGCAGCAGUGAGGAAUAUUGGUCAAUGGGCGCAAGCCUGAACCAGCCAAGUCGCGUGAGGGAUGACGGUCCUAUGGAUUGUAAACCUCUUUUGUCGGGGAGCAAGGCCCGCCACGUGUGGCGGGAAGGAGAGUACCCGAAGAAAAAGCAUCGGCUAACUCCGUGCCAGCAGCCGCGGUAAUACGGAGGAUGCGGGCGUUAUCCGGAUUUAUUGGGUUUAAAGGGUGCGUAGGCGGAAGGUUAAGUCAGCGGUAAAAUGUCGGUGCUCAACACCGGCCUGCCGUUGAAACUGGUCUUCUUGAGUGAGCGAGAAGUAUGCGGAAUGCGUGGUGUAGCGGUGAAAUGCAUAGAUAUCACGCAGAACUCCGAUUGCGAAGGCAGCAUACCGGCGCUCAACUGACGCUGAGGCACGAAAGCGUGGGGAUCGAACAGGAUUAGAUACCCUGGUAGUC
This 460-nucleotide ribosomal RNA is filed under the name uncultured bacterium. Its description in RNAcentral is "partial 16S ribosomal RNA". It matches the Rfam family "Bacterial small subunit ribosomal RNA", at positions 338 to 795 of the family's 1533-position model. The record is from RNAcentral.